Molecule: long non-coding RNA, 780 nt
Filed under: Papio anubis (olive baboon)
Lineage: Eukaryota; Metazoa; Chordata; Mammalia; Primates; Cercopithecidae
Description: lncRNA (ENSPANG00000041798.1)
Source: RNAcentral
AUGGACUACUUCAAGUCAGAGCCUCAAAAGCAGAUUGUAAUUAUUACUUGCUCCAUUUUAUACGUGACAAAAAGUACCCAUAAAGGGAUUAAGGGGUUUUGCUCAAAGCAGCAAAUCAAAAGGGCUGCUGCAGUUUGCUGGCGAUCCACUCUACAUCCUCUUGCACCUGGAAGUAUCACCAGUAGAGGCUGCAGAACAACAAACAUAGCUGUGUGCUCCUUAUUCUGGAAGUUCCAUCCCAGAGGGGCACCGACCUGAUGCCUGUUGGAACUCUCCUGCUUGAGGUGUCUGGUUACCCCUGUUGGGGAUCUCACCCAGUCAGGAAGCAUGGGAUCAGAGACCUGCUUAACAAAGCACUCUGACUGCCCCUGGGGAUAAUGGGUGCACUGUGCUGGGGGGAAUAUCACUCAUCUAGACUACCCAGCCUCCUCAGAGCCAGCAGGUGGGAAAGAUUAAGUCUGCUGAACCAGAUACCACAGCCACCCCUUCCCCCAGGUACUCCAUCCCAGGGAGAUCAGAAUUCUCUCCAUAAACCCCUGGCUGGAGUUGCUGAAAUUCCCACAGGGAGACCCCACUUGGUGAGAAAGGAUGGAUCCAGGUCCCACCUAAAGAGGUAGUCUGGCCACAAUCUGCCACAGCUGCUGUGUUGCACUUUGGGGAAUUCCUCCCACUAAAAACCGCCCAGCCUUCCUGCACCGGAUCAGAAAAUGACUGACUGGAGUCACAGUGAUGGCAGCCGCCCCUCCCCACUGGUAACUCGGUCGUCUUAGGCUGUCUCCA